This 253-nucleotide ribosomal RNA is filed under the name uncultured bacterium. RNAcentral's name for it is "partial 16S ribosomal RNA". It matches the Rfam family "Bacterial small subunit ribosomal RNA", at positions 524 to 776 of the family's 1533-position model. The record is from RNAcentral.
UACGUAGGGUGCAAGCGUUGUCCGGAAUUAUUGGGCGUAAAGAGCUCGUAGGCGGUCUGUCGCGUCUGCUGUGAAAACUCGGGGCUUAACCCCGGGCCUGCAGUGGGUACGGGCAGACUAGAGUGCGGUAGGGGAGACUGGAAUUCCUGGUGUAGCGGUGAAAUGCGUAGAUAUCGUUUGGAACGCCAAUGGUGAAAACAGCUUGCUGGGGAUGUGCUGACGCUGAGACACGAAAGCCAGGGGAGCGAACGGG